GGUUCGGUCGAGUGGUCUGCCUUUGGCAAGUAUUGCUUUGAUUGGAUCCUCCUUCUAGAGAACCGGUAUGCCCUUAACUGGGUGUGUCGGGGAUCUAGGACCAUUACCUUGAAAAAAUUAGAGUUCUCAAAGCAGGCUAUCAGCCUGAAUAGAUUAGCAUGGAGUAGAUAGGACGGUGGUCCUAUUUUGUUGGUUUCUAGGAUUGCCGUA
This 210-nucleotide ribosomal RNA is filed under the name uncultured fungus. RNAcentral's name for it is "partial small subunit ribosomal RNA". Lineage: Eukaryota; Fungi. The record is from RNAcentral.